This 203-nucleotide long non-coding RNA is filed under the name Elaeis guineensis (African oil palm). RNAcentral's name for it is "long non-coding RNA (EGUI_LNC039312)". Lineage: Eukaryota; Viridiplantae; Streptophyta; Magnoliopsida; Arecales; Arecaceae. The record is from RNAcentral.
AUGUAUUCGUGAGUGUGCGUUCAUUGUUGGACUGGUCCAUGAGCUCAACGGUGGAUUUGGUUCCACUAAAAAUUUCACCAUGCUGAUUGCUGACAAGUUAGUUUAAAUGUUAAAGCCAAAAUGGUGCGGUGAUUCCAAGGUUCAAGUGGCUGGAUUCCAAAAGCAAGCUACGCCUCUUAUCUUUAGAAUUCAAGAGGAUGCUU